GCUGGGUGUGGUGGUGCACACCUGUGGUCCCAGCUACUAGGGAGGCUGAGAUGGGAGGAUCACUUGAGCCCAGGAGAUCAAGGUUGCAGUGAGCCGUGAUCAUGCCUCUGCACUCCAGCCUGGGCAACAGAGCAAGACCCCCUCUCAA
Unclassified non-coding RNA from Macaca fascicularis (crab-eating macaque), 148 nucleotides. It matches the Rfam family "Metazoan signal recognition particle RNA". Rfam says of the family: The signal recognition particle (SRP) is a universally conserved ribonucleoprotein. It is involved in the co-translational targeting of proteins to membranes. The record is from Ensembl. Lineage: Eukaryota; Metazoa; Chordata; Mammalia; Primates; Cercopithecidae.